GAUCCUGGCUCAGGAUGAACGCUAGCGACAGGCUUAACACAUGCAAGUCGAGGGGCAUCACGGGAGUAGCAAUACAACUGGUGGCGACCGGCGCACGGGUGAGUAACGCGUAUGCAACCUACCUAUCAGAGGGGAAUAACCCGGCGAAAGUCGGACUAAUACCGCAUAAAACAGGGGCACCGCAUGGUGAUAUUUGUUAAAGAAAUUCGCUGAUAGAUGGGCGAUGCGUUCCAUUAGGUAGUUGGUGAGGUAACGGCUCACCAAGCCGACGAUGGAUAGGGGAACUGAGAGGUUGGUCCCCCACACUGGUACUGAGACACGGACCAGACUCCUACGGGAGGCAGCAGUGAGGAAUAUUGGUCAAUGGGCGGGAGCCUGAACCAGCCAAGUCGCGUGAAGGAAAAGAAGGAUCUAUGGUUCGUAAACUUCUUUUGCAGGGGAAUAAAGUGCAGGACGUGUCCUGUUUUGUAUGUACUCUGAGAAUAAGGAUCGGCUAACUCCGUGCCAGCCGCUGC
This 515-nucleotide ribosomal RNA is filed under the name uncultured bacterium. RNAcentral describes it as "bacterial SSU rRNA". It matches the Rfam family "Bacterial small subunit ribosomal RNA", at positions 15 to 518 of the family's 1533-position model. The record is from RNAcentral.